GAUCUCAGGGGAGGUUCGCCUCUUUCUGAGAUGUAUGUUAUACCCAUGUCUUUUGCGUACUACUUGUUUCCUUGGUAGGCUUGCCUGCCAAUAGGACAAAAUCAAAACCUUUUGUAAUUGCAGUCAGCGUCAGAAAUAACUUUUAAUAGUUACAACUUUCAACAACGGAUCUCUUGGUUCUGGCAUCGAUGAAGAACGCAGCGAAAUGCGAUAAGUAGUGUGAAUUGCAGAAUUCAGUGAAUCAUCGAAUCUUUGAACGCACAUUGCGCCCCUUGGUAUUCCAUGGGGCAUGCCUGUUCGAGCGUCAUUUGUACCCUCAAGCUUUGCUUGGUGUUGGGCGUUUGUCUCGCGUUGCGCGUAGACUCGCCUUAAAGCGAUUGGGAGCCCGCAUAUUGGCGUUGGAGCGCAACGCAUUUUGCGAAUACCCUCAUUUAUGUUGGCGUCCAUUAAGCCCAUACAUUUUGCUCUUGACCUCGGAUCACGUAUGGAUACCCGCUGAACUUAAGCAUAUCUUAAAUAUAAGAAAAGAAAUCAUGGGAAGGUUCACCCUCUUUCUCAGGAGGAGGGUCACCUCCCUCUGAGAUGGAGGCUAUACCAUGUCUUUGGCGGGCUACUUGUUCCUUGGUAGGCUUGCCUGCCAUAUGACAAAAUCAAAACCUUUUGUAAUUGCAGUCAGCGUCAGAAAUAACUUUUAAUAGUUACAACUUUCACAACGGAUCUCUUGGUUCUGGCAUC
This 735-nucleotide ribosomal RNA is filed under the name Alternaria padwickii. Its description in RNAcentral is "eukaryotic LSU rRNA". The stretch from base 154 to 307 matches the Rfam family "5.8S ribosomal RNA". Lineage: Eukaryota; Fungi; Ascomycota; Dothideomycetes; Pleosporales; Pleosporaceae. The record is from RNAcentral.